AUGAUCUUAUCAUUUGUCAAACAUAACAUAGAAGAACCUGGCAGCAGGCUCAAGAAAAUAUUGAAUUUAUUUAUUUACUUUACUUUAUUUACUUCCUGUUUUAAUUGCAGAUGCUUUUCUUCUGUGUCUGGAAGUUACAACUCAACGAGCCUCAUCCCAAACCUCAGUGAGAUGGUGUCUUCUGAACACUGUCAGUUUGCUGUUGAAGAUGAUUUUGAGGAGGAAAUCUAUGAAAACUACUGUCCUGUUUAUUACAAUGAUAGAGAUGAACAUCUUCAGUGGACAAACACUCAGUUGUGAUAAAAAUGAGUACUCGAUUGAAAACAGGUGCUGCCCCAUGUGUAAUUCUGGACAGAGGGUUAAAACAGUUUGUGCAGAUUGAAGACCUACGUCCUGUUCUCCCUGUUUAAAAGGAACGUUCAUGAAUCAUUCCACUGAACUCAAACAGUGUUUCCCGUGUGCAGACUGUGAUCAAGGUAGAUUUACAUUUUUGUCUAACAGUCUUCAGUGCAACAAACAGAUAAUCUUCAUGAAUGUUUACAUCUGUCAUCAUCAUAACCUUAUAUAACAAAAUAUUCCACACCUAAAUACAACAUCAUGAAACAAUAACAGCUACUAUGAUGAUGAAAGGUUUGUCGUAGCAGUUAAGACACAGCCUUUAGUUACUGAACUCCAACUCAAACUUUAUCUGUCAAAUCUUGUGCUUUGGUAAAAGUAUUUGAGGAGCUGAUAAUUCAGGAAAAUAACAGGGAAACAAGGGAGGAAGAUUAGGCUCUGAAAAGGAUGAAGAGUGGAGAGGCUGUUGGUCCUGAUGACGUACCUGUGGACGUGUCUAGGGGAGACAGCAGUGGAGUUUUUAACUAGCUUGUUCAACAGGAUUCUAGAGCAUGAGAAGAUGCCUGAGGAAUGGAGGAGAAGCGUUUCGGUGUCCAUCUUUAAGAACAAGGGUGACACGCAGAACUGCAGCAACCACAGAGGAAUAAAGUUGAUGAGCCACACA
Molecule: long non-coding RNA, 1000 nt
Filed under: Betta splendens (Siamese fighting fish)
Lineage: Eukaryota; Metazoa; Chordata; Actinopteri; Anabantiformes; Osphronemidae
Description: lncRNA (ENSBSLG00000009377.1)
Source: RNAcentral